This 253-nucleotide ribosomal RNA is filed under the name uncultured bacterium. Its description in RNAcentral is "partial 16S ribosomal RNA". It matches the Rfam family "Bacterial small subunit ribosomal RNA", at positions 524 to 776 of the family's 1533-position model. The record is from RNAcentral.
UACGAAGGGGGCUAGCGUUGCUCGGAUUUACUGGGCGUAAAGGGCGCGUAGGCGGACAGUUUAGUCAGAGGUGAAAGCCCGGGGCUCAACCCCGGAAUAGCCUUUGAUACUGGUUGUCUUGAGUUUGGGAGAGGUAUGCGGAACUCCGAGUGUAGAGGUGAAAUUCGUAGAUAUUCGGAAGAACACCAGUGGCGAAGGCGGCAUACUGGCCCAAUACUGACGCUGAGGCGCGAAAGCGUGGGGAGCAAACAGG